This 395-nucleotide long non-coding RNA is filed under the name Rattus norvegicus (Norway rat). RNAcentral's name for it is "long non-coding RNA NONRATT014280". Lineage: Eukaryota; Metazoa; Chordata; Mammalia; Rodentia; Muridae. The record is from RNAcentral.
CCUCCCACCCCUACCCCCCUACUCCGAGACAGGGUUUCUCUGUAUGGCCCUAGCUAUCCUGGAACUAGCUCUGUAGACCAACUGGCCUCCACUGGCUGGCCUCCAACUCACAGAAAUCCACCUGCCUCUGCUUCCCGAGUGCUGAGAUUAAAGGCAUCCGCCACCACUGCCAGAAACUUCUGAUGUGGGUUUUUAUCUUAUUAAUAUGAAGUCUUUUUUGGUUUUGGUUUCAAAAUCUUUUUUCUUUUUUUGAGACAUGGUCUCAUGUAUUCUAGGCUGUCUUUAACUCUUACAGUUAAGAGUUCUUCAAGGGGGUUGGGGAUUUAGCUCAGUGGUAGAGUGCUUGCCUAGCAAGUGCAAGGCCCGGGGUUCGGUCCUCAGCUCCGAAAAAAAAA